This 253-nucleotide ribosomal RNA is filed under the name uncultured bacterium. RNAcentral describes it as "partial 16S ribosomal RNA". It matches the Rfam family "Bacterial small subunit ribosomal RNA", at positions 524 to 776 of the family's 1533-position model. The record is from RNAcentral.
UACGUAGGCAGCAAGCGUUGUUCGGAGUUACUGGGCGUAAAGGGUGUGUAGGCGGCCUGUUAAGUUCCGUGUGAAAUCUCCCGGCUCAACCGGGAGGGUGCGCGGAAAACUGGCGGGCUAGAGUGCGGGACGGGAGAGUAGAAUUCCUGGUGUAGCGGUGGAAUGCGCAGAUAUCAGGAGGAACACCUAUAGCGAAGGCAGCUUGCUGGGACGUUACUGACGCUAAGGCGCGAAAGCGUGGGGAGCGAACAGG